RNAcentral lists this ribosomal RNA (533 nucleotides) under uncultured bacterium. RNAcentral's name for it is "bacterial SSU rRNA". It matches the Rfam family "Bacterial small subunit ribosomal RNA", at positions 976 to 1509 of the family's 1533-position model. The record is from RNAcentral.
UGGCCUUGACAUACUAAGAACUUUCCAGAGAUGGAUUGGUGCCUUCGGGAACUUAGAUACAGGUGCUGCAUGGCUGUCGUCAGCUCGUGUCGUGAGAUGUUGGGUUAAGUCCGCAACGAGCGCAACCCUUUUCCUUAUUUGCCAGCGGGUAAUGCCGGGAACUUUAAGGAUACUGCCAGUGACAAACUGGAGGAAGGCGGGGACGACGUCAAGUCAUCAUGGCCCUUACGGCCAGGGCUACACACGUGCUACAAUGGUCGGUACAAAGGGUUGCUACCUCGCGAGAGGAUGCUAAUCUCAAAAAGCCGAUCGUAGUCCGGAUCGCAGUCUGCAACUCGACUGCGUGAAGUCGGAAUCGCUAGUAAUCGCGGAUCAGAAUGCCGCGGUGAAUACGUUCCCGGGCCUUGUACACACCGCCCGUCACACCAUGGGAGUUUGUUGCACCAGAAGUAGGUAGUCUAACCGCAGGGAGGACGCUUACCACGGUGUGGCCGAUGACUGGGGUGAAGUCGUAACAAGGUAAGCGUAGAUGA